CCUCUUUAACUGUAGAGAAGCGACACAAGGGUAGAAGUAACCCACUAAGUAUCCUAUGGGUUACUUCUACCUUUGUGUCGCUUCUCUACAGUUAAAGAGG
Non-coding RNA from Podarcis lilfordi (Lilford's wall lizard), 100 nucleotides. Lineage: Eukaryota; Metazoa; Chordata; Lepidosauria; Squamata; Lacertidae. The record is from the annotation of a GenBank genome assembly.